This 1616-nucleotide long non-coding RNA is filed under the name Oryctolagus cuniculus (rabbit). RNAcentral describes it as "lncRNA (ENSOCUG00000032143.1)". The record is from RNAcentral. Lineage: Eukaryota; Metazoa; Chordata; Mammalia; Lagomorpha; Leporidae.
GAGAGAGAGAGAAAGACUAUCUAGAAAGUGAGUGAUAAGAAUAAUACAAAAAUCUCUGAUGAAUCCUGAAUAUCAACUGAGUAUCUAAUAAGUGGUAUUUCAACAAAGGAAGAAAAAUAUAUUUUAUCUUAUGCUAAAACAUAUUAGAAACGAAUUUGACUUGAAUGUGAAGCUUCUAAACUAAGUUAGGUGAGCAAUUAGGUAUAAUGUUGAGAGCUAAAGGAGAGGUCCAGAUUAGUGAUAAGGAGUUGAAUGUGAUCAUCAUGUAUUUGAAAGUUAAAGCCAUGAAAAUGUAUUUAUGAAAAAGAAAGUAAAUGAAUGAAGCACUUAGGUAGGAAACUUAUGAAUUAAAUAAGUAUAUCUAAUUAUUCAUUUCAAAGAAUAUGAUUACAGAAGCCUGAGUUUGUCUGUUAAUCAUUUUUAUUGGUAGAGAAAAACAAACAUUUGAUAGUAUCACUACAUAGACAGUAAUAAUGUUUAGUCUACUUCAUAGGGACUUAAAAUAUAUUCAAUUCACUUCAGUAUAGGAUUGUUCUUCAAGAAACCUAUAGUUGAUUUGAUAGAGAAGUAAGAAAAUUGACAUUCAAGUUGAAUCAUUAUUAUCUUUUCUUAAAAAAUAAGAGAAGUGCAGUGAUAUUGUCUGUUUGUGAAGAAGUGGUUAGCAUUGGAAAAUAGGUGGUUUCAGUUAUUUAACAAAGGAAGUGCAAGCAGUAUAUAGAUCUAUAUUUUGCAGUUUCAAUGACACUGAUGAUUUAUGCAGCGAGAUAUUUGACUAAGUGAGCUGGAGGAAUAAAAGCACAUGUUGAAUACUGGCAUGCUUGCCAAUAGGAAUGACCGUGGCAUAGUUACUGAACUUGGCAUAAUGUAAGAUGUGUUCACGCAAUUGGAUUACAGAAGGGUGAUACAUAUAGCUGAGGGUUUUGUGUUGUGGAAGGAACAAAGAUGCAAGCAGCUUUCACUUCUGCUGUGAAAGUGGAAAAAAAGAAGAAGAAAUGGAUGCAAGUUUUAAACCCAAUAUUCUAUUCAGAUCUUAAUUUCCAUGAAGCAUUGCUCAAUCAUCUGCAUCGGCCAAGGUGCUGUGAAGAAAACAGUAUCAGGCAGAGACUACCGAAUGUGUGGCAUUGGUGCUCACAAAAUCGUUGUACGGGCUGGAGGAGUGGAAGGCAGGAGGACAUUACACUUCUGUGGCUGCAAGCCAGAGGUUGAGAGACAGACUGCUGCUACCGUGAAUGCUGCCUUCCAAAUUGCUGUAACAAGGGUAGACAUGUAACGGGACCUGAACAUUAAAGCCUGAGAUUUGUUUAUCACCCCGCUUUUUACCGUAGCUUUUUUUCUAUCCCCAGAUUCCCUCUCCAUCACACCUCCUUACUCGAAAGAAGAGCCCUGUGUUUCCUGGCACAUUUAGCUUCUUCAGUACACUCCUAACAGUCCCAUGCAUCAUGUAUGUAAGGAUAAAACUCUGGCAAACGCUGACUUAAUGUAAUGUUUUGGCCCUAUUUAGCUCCCAGGGUGAUGUGUUUGCUCAGGGGAAGAGUGUGCAUUUCACAAUUGGGGUUUAGAAAACAUUUGUUUAGAAAAUGAAUAAAAUAGUAUCUCUUUUACUAUUUUUAAUUAAA